Molecule: ribosomal RNA, 253 nt
Filed under: uncultured bacterium
Lineage: Bacteria
Description: partial 16S ribosomal RNA
Rfam family: Bacterial small subunit ribosomal RNA
Source: RNAcentral
UACAUAGGGUGCAAGCGUUAAUCGGAAUUACUGGGCGUAAAGCGUGCGUAGACGGUUAUGUAAGUCAGGUGUGAAAGCCCCGGGCUCAACCUGGGAAUUGCAUUUGAGACUGCAUAGCUAGGGUGCGGAAGAGGGAAGCGGAAUUUCCGGUGUAGCGGUGAAAUGCGUAGAUAUCGGAAGGAACAUCAGUGGCGAAAGCGGCUUCCUGGUCCAGCACCGACGUUCAGGCACGAAAGCGUGGGGAGCAAACAGG